GUGCUUUUAAUGUAGGACUUGUUGAAUAUUCUCCAGAUUGACAACUACAAAGCCACCGAGUAGGAAAUGUCUCAGGAUUCCCAUCAUCCAUUUUUUGGAGGAGAAUUUAUCCUCUGCCUUUCUUGGAAGCCUCCUCCAGCCCCAAAUGUGCCAUUGCUCUGGGAUUUUGCACACCACCAAGUGGAUACUGGGAGGAGCCAGGUUUGAGCCAUCUCCAGAGGCUGCCUGUUAAAGUGAAUGGCCCCCAGCAAGCAGAAGGAGACUGUGGGUCAUCACUAGAGGACAGAACCUGAGGAGGCUGUGCCUCCUAAUCCUGGACAACAGAACAUUGCUGGACAACCAUGGCAAAGCUGAGCUCAGUGGGCUCACCAUGGAUUUACUCUGAUCUGCAUUACUUAGAUCAUUAAUGUCAAUCCCUUUUUUCCCAGUAGCUUUAUGUCUGUUCACAUCAUUUCAUUCUCAAUUGCACUAGCUCUGUGCUUUUACCCUUAGCUGUUAUCCUCACCCUCUAUCUAAACAAGAGCUCCUUUGAUUUCCUUCCUCCUCACUUUAAAAUUUUCUUUUGCCUUUGAUCGUUCUCUUAUUUUUCUCAUCCUGUCUCAGGAAUGCUCUUUCUUCCCAAGGCUAUGCCUUCCUCUCUGUAUGGAUCCUGUCCCCUCCUGGCUUUCCAGGACUACUGCAUGAAUUACCUUCUAUUUUCUUGCAUCUUCAGUGUCACCCUUUUCAUGAGCUCUGCAACAGUCCUAUUGCCCAAGCUCUAGAAAAUCCCCCUCUUAAAUUAUUGUAUUUCUAGCCUUUCAUUUACUAUCUCAUUUCUCAAAAGUGCAAUAAACAUGUAAUUUCCCUUUUUCUACUCUUUUGGUUUGAGGCAUAUUAUCCUUCUAUUUCUCACACCUAAGGCCUCAAAUUCCACCUGUAAGGGGGUGAGCUUGCACUUAGGUUCUAGGCUAAAUCUAGUCACAAGAAAGCAACUAGUGCAGUUAGAUUCACAGUUUAGAGUGUCUGUGGAAAUGCUUCACCUUGGGAUGGGAUUCUGCCUGCAUUACUGUUACUUAAGCAUACUGAUGCCACCUGGAUAUUCACCUGCUUCAGCUUCUGCCUGUUGACCCCUUGCACACUACUUUCUCCCCCUCUCAUGUUUGGAAGAAUCAACCUCAAAAUGUUAACUUCAUUAUUGAUAAAGCCAACUGGGGAACAUGUCUUUAGAUGUUUGGUCAAAAGCCUUGCUGAGUUGAAUUUUCUCCUACAACAGCAGCCCAGAAUGCACUCUCUCUGCACUUGGUUUGCAGGCUGGCUUAUGGAGAGUCAGGGGUUAAGUGUUCUUCCAACUUUGCAAAAGAUAAAUCAGUCAUCUACUAGGAAAAGAGGAAAAUCAGAGAUAAGCUGAAAGCAUUCCUCUCAUAAUUUUCCAUUCCUGGGGAGUAGAUUUGACAUUUUCUUCCCUUAAUGGAAACAUGAGUCAUGAGGAAUAAAUGCUCCCUGCUAUCAGUCCUCUCUCUCCCUUCUAGGGCUUCUCCUGGUUCCUGUUCGGCCCCCAGAAAGCUUGUCUAAUCUUGGCUAGCCUGAUCCAGCCUCCACCAGCCCCGAUGCUGCUGGUAUACACUUGCUCCUUAACCACACAUACUGUGGUUUCUGCUUUAACAAUCAGCCAUAGGAUUUUAAUUACCCAAUCUAGCCACACGUUCUCAGUCCUUUUCUUCUCUAACUUCUCAGCUCAAAAAUUUUGAAUACAUCCCAUUUGAUUGUGGACAAAGAGGCAAUGAUCAUGGGGUAAUGCACUAUGUUUUUGUACACUAAGUUUCUUUUGUAAAUACCAUUGUUUCUGGCCAGGCGUGGUGGCUCACACCUGUAAUC
Molecule: long non-coding RNA, 1854 nt
Filed under: Homo sapiens (human)
Lineage: Eukaryota; Metazoa; Chordata; Mammalia; Primates; Hominidae
Description: HSALNT0200751
Source: RNAcentral